Molecule: long non-coding RNA, 275 nt
Filed under: Elaeis guineensis (African oil palm)
Lineage: Eukaryota; Viridiplantae; Streptophyta; Magnoliopsida; Arecales; Arecaceae
Description: long non-coding RNA (EGUI_LNC015129)
Source: RNAcentral
AGACCGCCACGGUGACUUGCAAGUAACUCACUGUACUUAGGCACUGGACUACCUGAAUUUCUAAUUCAAUGACGGAAGGAUGCUGGGUGUAGUCAAGUACUUGACUUGUCGGUGCGAGUGUCAAGAUGGGAUUGACCACUCCAAUUCAGGAGCCGUGUACAGUCAUAUUUUAAUUUAGCAAAAUCUUGGCCAGGGUAGUCCUAGUGAGGAGUCACAGGACUAUUUGAGUUGAGCACGAUUCGGAUGAUCUGAUCAGGGUUGACAGUUUAACCCUG